CACGGGGGGAGCAAGCGUUGUUCGGAUUUACUGGGCGUAAAGAGCGCGCAGGCGGUCGUUCAAGUCGAGUGUGAAAGCCCCCGGCUCAACUGGGGAGGGUUAUUCGAUACUGAUCGACUCGAAGGCAGGAGAGGGAAGCGGAAUUCCCGGUGUAGUGGUGAAAUGCGUAGAUAUCGGGAGGAACACCAGUGGCGAAGGCGGCUUCCUGGCCUGUUCUUGACGCUGAGGCGCGAAAGCUAGGGGAGCAAACGGG
Molecule: ribosomal RNA, 253 nt
Filed under: uncultured bacterium
Lineage: Bacteria
Description: partial 16S ribosomal RNA
Rfam family: Bacterial small subunit ribosomal RNA
Source: RNAcentral